RNAcentral lists this ribosomal RNA (253 nucleotides) under Roseburia intestinalis L1-82. RNAcentral's name for it is "partial 16S ribosomal RNA". It matches the Rfam family "Bacterial small subunit ribosomal RNA", at positions 524 to 776 of the family's 1533-position model. Lineage: Bacteria; Bacillati; Bacillota; Clostridia; Lachnospirales; Lachnospiraceae. The record is from RNAcentral.
UACGUAUGGUGCAAGCGUUAUCCGGAUUUACUGGGUAUAAAGGGAGCGCAGGCGGUACGGCAAGUCUGAUGUGAAAGCCCGGGGCUCAACCCCGGUACUGCAUUGGAAACUGUCGGACUAGAGUGUCGGAGGGGUAAGUGGAAUUCCUAGUGUAGCGGUGAAAUGCGUAGAUAUUAGGAGGAACACCAGUGGCGAAGGCGGCUUACUGGACGAUUACUGACGCUGAGGCUCGAAAGCGUGGGGAGCAAACAGG